Molecule: ribosomal RNA, 496 nt
Filed under: uncultured bacterium
Lineage: Bacteria
Description: partial 16S ribosomal RNA
Rfam family: Bacterial small subunit ribosomal RNA
Source: RNAcentral
AUGAACGCUGGCGGCGUGCCUAAUACAUGCAAGUCGAGCGAACAGACGAGGAGCUUGCUCCUCUGACGUUAGCGGCGGCCGGGUGAGUAACACGUGGAUAACCUACCUAUAAGACUGGGAUAACUUCGGGAAACCGGAGCUAAUACCGGAUAAUAUAUUGAACCGCAUGGUUCAAUAGUGAAAGACGGUUUUGCUGUCACUUAUAGAUGGAUCCGCGCCGCAUUAGCUAGUUGGUAAGGUAACGGCUUACCAAGGCAACGAUGCGUAGCCGACCUGAGAGGGUGAUCGGCCACACUGGAACUGAGACACGGUCCAGACUCCUACGGGAGGCAGCAGUAGGGAAUCUUCCGCAAUGGGCGAAAGCCUGACGGAGCAACGCCGCGUGAGUGAUGAAGGUCUUCGGAUCGUAAAACUCUGUUAUUAGGGAAGAACAAAUGUGUAAGUAACUAUGCACGUCUUGACGGUACCUAAUCAGAAAGCCACGGCUAACUACGUG